AAAAUGGAGAGUUUGAUCCUGGCUCAGGAUGAACGCUGGCGGUAUGCUUAACACAUGCAAGUCGAACGGUCUUUUAGGAGACAGUGGCGGACGGGUGAGUAACGCGUAAGAAUCUACCUUCAGGUUGGGGACAACCACUGGAAACGGUGGCUAAUACCGAAUGUGCCGGGUGGUGAAAGUCUUCCUGCCUGAAGAAGUGCUUGCUUCUGAGUUGCUAGUUGGUAGUGUAAGUAGCUACCAAGGCGACGAUCAGUAGCUGGUCUGAGAGGAUGAUCAGCGACUCUGUGACUGAGACACGUCCCAGACUCCUACGGGAGGCAGCAGUGGGGAAUUUUCCGGAAUGGGCGAAAGCCUGACGGAGCAAUACCGCGUGAGGGAGGAAGGCUCUUGGGUUGUAAACCUCUUUUCUCAGGGAAGAACAGAAUGACGGUACCUGAGGAAUAAGCAUCGGCUAACUCCGUGCCAGCAGCCGCGGUAAUACGGAGGAUGCAAGCGUUAUCCGGAAUGAUUGGGCGUAAAGGGUCCGCAGGUGGCAUUGUAAGUCUGCUGUUAAAGAGUUUGGCUCAACCAAAUAAGAGCAGUGGAAACUACAAAGCUAGAGUGUGGUCGGGGCAGAGGGAAUUCCUGGUGUAGCGGUGAAAUGCGUAGAUAUCAGGAAGAACACCAGUGGCGAAGGCGCUCUGCUAGGCCGAGACUGACACUGAGGGACGAAAGCUAGGGGAGCGAAUGGGAUUAGAUACCCCAGUAGUCCUAGCCGUAA
Molecule: ribosomal RNA, 760 nt
Filed under: Anabaena sp. WA113
Lineage: Bacteria; Bacillati; Cyanobacteriota; Cyanophyceae; Nostocales; Nostocaceae
Description: bacterial SSU rRNA
Rfam family: Bacterial small subunit ribosomal RNA
Source: RNAcentral